AAAACAAAGUAGAAGUAUCCGCUUCUCACCUUAUAGCAUAGAGCUCAUAAGGUUAAUAUUGACGAUUUAUAAGUAUUGUUGUACUUUUUUGUCGUUUUUAAUGCGGAUAGUUUCUACUAUCCGCAUUAAUUUUAUUUA
This is a regulatory RNA element of Proteiniborus sp. DW1, 138 nucleotides long. It matches the Rfam family "Ribosomal protein L20 leader". From Rfam's summary of the family: This family is a putative r-protein leader autoregulatory structure found in B. subtilis and other low-GC Gram-positive bacteria. It is located in the 5' untranslated regions of mRNAs encoding initiation factor 3 followed by ribosomal proteins L35 and L20 (infC-rpmI-rplT). The record is from Rfam. Lineage: Bacteria; Bacillati; Bacillota; Clostridia; Eubacteriales.